AAUCAACGCUGGCGGCGUGCCUAACACAUGCAAGUCGAGCGCGGAAAGGGGAGCAAUCCCCAAGUAGAGCGGCGAACGGGUGAGUAACGCGUGGGUAAUCUGCCUCCGAGUGGGGAACAACAUCGGGAAACUGGUGCUAAUACCGCAUAACAUCGUCGGGUUUUCGGAUCUGACGAUCAAAGCCGGGGACCGCAAGGCCUGGCGCUUGGAGAGGAGCCCGCGUCCGAUUAGCUAGNGGUGGGUAAUGGCCCACCAAGGCUUCGAUCGGUAGCCGGCCUGAGAGGGCGGACGGCCACACUGGGACUGAGACACGGUCCGGACUCCUACGGGAGGCAGCAGUGGGGAAUAUUGGACAAUGGGCGAAAGCCUGAUCCAGCGACGCCGCGU
Molecule: ribosomal RNA, 387 nt
Filed under: uncultured bacterium
Lineage: Bacteria
Description: bacterial SSU rRNA
Rfam family: Bacterial small subunit ribosomal RNA
Source: RNAcentral